The sequence is a transfer RNA, 84 nucleotides long. It matches the Rfam family "tRNA". Rfam says of the family: Transfer RNA (tRNA) molecules are approximately 80 nucleotides in length.
GCCCUGGUGGCGGAAUUGGUAGACGCGCUGGUUUCAGGUAUCAGUAACCGCAAGGUUGUGGGGGUUCGAGUCCCUUCCUGGGCA